RNAcentral lists this ribosomal RNA (497 nucleotides) under uncultured bacterium. RNAcentral's name for it is "partial 16S ribosomal RNA". It matches the Rfam family "Bacterial small subunit ribosomal RNA", at positions 28 to 507 of the family's 1533-position model. The record is from RNAcentral.
GAUGAACGCUGGCGGCGUGCCUAAUACAUGCAAGUCGAGCGAACGGACGAGAAGCUUGCUUCUCUGAUGUUAGCGGCGGACGGGUGAGUAACACGUGGAUAACCUACCUAUAAGACUGGGAUAACUUCGGGAAACCGGAGCUAAUACCGGAUAAUAUUUUGAACCGCAUGGUUCAAAAGUGAAAGACGGUCUUGCUGUCACUUAUAGAUGGAUCCGCGCUGCAUUAGCUAGUUGGUAAGGUAACGGCUUACCAAGGCAACGAUGCAUAGCCGACCUGAGAGGGUGAUCGGCUACACUGGAACUGAGACACGGUCCAGACUCCUACGGGAGGCAGCAGUAGGGAAUCUUCCGCAAUGGGCGAAAGCCUGACGGAGCAACGCCGCGUGAGUGAUGAAGGUCUUCGGAUCGUAAAACUCUGUUAUUAGGGAAGAACAUAUGUGUAAGUAACUGUGCACAUCUUGACGGUACCUAAUCAGAAAGCCAGGGCUAACUACGUG